Molecule: ribosomal RNA, 253 nt
Filed under: uncultured bacterium
Lineage: Bacteria
Description: partial 16S ribosomal RNA
Rfam family: Bacterial small subunit ribosomal RNA
Source: RNAcentral
UACGGGGGGUGCGAGCGUUGUCCGGAAUCACUGGGCGUAAAGGGCGCGUAGGUGGCGUCGUAAGUUUGUGGUGAAAGCCCGGAGCUCAACUCCGGGUCUGCCGCGAAUACUGCGAGGCUUGAGUACUGUAGAGGGGGGUAGAAUAUCGGGUGUAGCGGUGGAAUGCGUAGAGAUCCGAUAGAAGACCGGUGGCGAAGGCGGCCCCCUGGGCAGUAACUGACACUGAGGCGCGACAGCGUGGGGAGCGAACGGG